AGCGGCGGACGGGUGAGUAACGCGUGGGUAACCUGCCCUAUACACAUGGAUAACAUACUGAAAAGUUUACUAAUACAUGAUAAUAUAUAUUUGCGGCAUCGCAGAUAUAUCAAAGUGUUAGCGGUAUAGGAUGGACCCGCGUCUGAUUAGCUAGUUGGUGAGAUAACUGCCCACCAAGGCGACGAUCAGUAGCCGACCUGAGAGGGUGAUCGGCCACAUUGGAACUGAGACACGGUCCAAACUCCUACGGGAGGCAGCAGUGGGGAAUAUUGCACAAUGGGCGAAAGCCUGAUGCAGCAACGCCGCGUGAACGAUGAAGGUCUUCGGAUCGUAAAGUUCUGUUGCAGGGGAAGAUAAUGACGGUACCCUGUGAGGAAGCCCCGGCUAACUACGUGCCAGCAGCCGCGGUAAUACGUAGGGGGCUAGCGUUAUCCGGAUUUACUGGGCGUAAAGGGUGCGUAGGUGGUCCUUCAAGUCGGUGGUUAAAGGCUACGGCUCAACCGUAGUAAGCCGCCGAAACUGGAGGACUUGAGUGCAGGAGAGGAAAGUGGAAUUCCCAGUGUAGCGGUGAAAUGCGUAGAUAUUGGGAGGAACACCAGUAGCGAAGGCGGCUUUCUGGACUGCAAC
Molecule: ribosomal RNA, 627 nt
Filed under: uncultured Peptostreptococcaceae bacterium
Lineage: Bacteria; Bacillati; Bacillota; Clostridia; Peptostreptococcales; Peptostreptococcaceae
Description: bacterial SSU rRNA
Rfam family: Bacterial small subunit ribosomal RNA
Source: RNAcentral